UGCUUUUCAGAUAUGCAACGCUCCUGUGGAUAUAUCUGCUGUCUGGAGUCUUCCCCAGUGCUGACAUGGCCUUCAUCUCCUACGUCUUCCUGAACUUCAUCUUUGGAAUCUGCACCCUGCUGAUGACCAUCAUGCCAUGGCUGCUGGCCAUCAUCUCCAAAGCCCAGAAUUUGCAGAACAUCUAUGACACCCUGAAGUGGGUCUUCACGAUUUUCCUCCAGUUCUG
Molecule: long non-coding RNA, 226 nt
Filed under: Cavia porcellus (domestic guinea pig)
Lineage: Eukaryota; Metazoa; Chordata; Mammalia; Rodentia; Caviidae
Description: lncRNA (ENSCPOG00000032065.1)
Source: RNAcentral